This is a long non-coding RNA of Prunus avium (sweet cherry), 759 nucleotides long. RefSeq lists it as uncharacterized. The record is from RefSeq and is a predicted model, not a curated record. NCBI's taxonomy places the organism in Eukaryota, Viridiplantae, Streptophyta, Magnoliopsida, Rosales, Rosaceae.
AAACGAAGACCACGGUCCACGAGGUCGCAACCACCACCAACAACGACCAUGGCUAAGAAGGUCAUUGCAAAGCGCCAGAGAAAGCCCUUUUCCUGCGGAGAAGCAAUAGGAGGAUCGACAGCGGAGAAGGCGUCUUCCGUCGUUUUCCAGUGGAGAAGCAAGAUGAAGGAGAAGGCGUUUUCUGGCGGAGAAGCAAUUGAUGACGACCAUGGCUCGUCCUGGCGUCACGAAUGCCGACGGAGAAGGCGUUUUCCGAUCCAUGGAGAAGCAAUCGGAGGAUCGAUGCUCGCGGAUUCGCAAAGCUCGGAUGCGCAUAAGCAGAUUUACUUAUCGUAGUGUUUUUAUGAGAAAGUGGUGAAUGAUGCCAGCUAAAUCUAAAGAUGAAGAUCCAAUAUAGAACACGGUGCCCAAACUGUGCUGGAAUCAACUAUCUACGCCCAACCUUGGUGGCGUGGAGUGGGGAACAGUUCAUCGUCAGGUGAAAGUGCUCCAGCAUCAUCUUUGGUGGAUCAUCGUGAUAGUAUGGUCAUGAAUGGAGCUAUGCAGUCACAAGCUAAUGCUAGGCUGGAUGGUGGAGCCAACUUCAACAAAGAAUUGCGGACUACAAUAGGAUCACAGUCUGGUAGUUACUUUUGCAUUAUCAUUUCCCAUGGGAAAAUUUCAUGUGACUUCUUUUUCUGAAUAGGAAAUUUUCACACUUGCUACUAUAUGAAAUUAACUAUAAAGUAAUCAUUAUGAGAAACCUUUCUUUAAAAAAAA